RNAcentral lists this ribosomal RNA (413 nucleotides) under Theridion melanurum. RNAcentral describes it as "partial 16S ribosomal RNA". It matches the Rfam family "Archaeal large subunit ribosomal RNA", at positions 1953 to 2671 of the family's 2987-position model. Lineage: Eukaryota; Metazoa; Arthropoda; Arachnida; Araneae; Theridiidae. The record is from RNAcentral.
UCUGCUCAAUGAAAUAUUUAAAUAGCCGCAGAUUCUGUGCUAAGGUAGCAUAAUCAUUUGUUUUUUAAUUCAAAACUAGAAUGAAAGGCUUAACGUUUUAAUUACUUUAUUAUUUCUACUUAUUAAAUUUAUACUAAAUAUAAAAAUAUAUUUAUUUAUAAGACAGACGAUAAGACCCUAUUGAACUUUACUUAUGUUUAGCUGGGGCAGCUUAUUAAUUAAAACUUUAACUAAAAUAUUCAUUCAUAACAAAUCCAAUAUAAUUGAAUUAAUCAAGUUACCAUAGGGAUAACAGCGUAAUAUAAAUUUAAAGCUCUUAUUUAAAUUUAUGCUUGCGACCUCGAUGUUGAAUUAUUAUUCUUUAUAACGCAAUAGUUAUAAAAGUAAGUCUGUUCGACUUUUAAUAUAAUACA